UGGCUCACGCAUCGAUGAAGAACGCAGCGAAAUGCGAUAAGUAAUGUGAAUUGCAGAUUUCAGUGAAUCAUCGAAUCUUUGAACGCACCUUGCACCCUUUGGUAUUCCGAAGGGUAUGCCUGUUUGAGUGUCAUUUAACUCUUCAACCUCCAGGCUUUAUUGUCCUUUGGAGGCUUGGAUGUGGGAGUCUGCGGGCUGCGACAAGCGGUCGGCUCUCCUGAAAUGCAUUAGCUGGGGUUAAGGUCCUUGCCUAUUGGUGUGAUAAUUAUCAUCGCCGACGGGUCCAAGGCUUUGAAAGCCCUGCUUCCAAUCGUCUUCGGACAGCUUCACUAUUGAAGCUUCUAUUGACCAUUGUGACCUCAAAUCAGGUAGGAUUACCCGCUGA
Molecule: unclassified non-coding RNA, 385 nt
Filed under: uncultured fungus
Lineage: Eukaryota; Fungi
Description: partial contains 5.8S ribosomal RNA and internal transcribed spacer 2
Rfam family: 5.8S ribosomal RNA (bases 1-133)
Source: RNAcentral